RNAcentral lists this ribosomal RNA (253 nucleotides) under uncultured bacterium. Its description in RNAcentral is "partial 16S ribosomal RNA". It matches the Rfam family "Bacterial small subunit ribosomal RNA", at positions 524 to 776 of the family's 1533-position model. The record is from RNAcentral.
UACGUAGGGUGCAAGCGUUGUCCGGAAUUAUUGGGCGUAAAGAGCUCGUAGGCGGUUCGUCGCGUCUGCUGUGAAAUCCCGAGGCUCAACCUCGGGCCUGCAGUGGGUACGGGCAGACUAGAGUGCGGUAGGGGAGAUUGGAAUUCCUGGUGUAGCGGUGGAAUGCGCAGAUAUCAGGAGGAACACCGAUGGCGAAGGCAGAUCUCUGGGCCGUAACUGACGCUGAGGAGCGAAAGCAUGGGGAGCGAACAGG